GGGCCUCUAGCUCAAUGGCAGAGCAGCUGACUCUUAAUCAGCCGGUUCUGGGUUCGAAUCCCAGGGGGCUCACCA
Molecule: transfer RNA, 75 nt
Filed under: Chloroflexota bacterium
Lineage: Bacteria; Bacillati; Chloroflexota
Also listed under: 1 other name
Description: Chloroflexi bacterium tRNA-Lys
Rfam family: tRNA
About the family: Transfer RNA (tRNA) molecules are approximately 80 nucleotides in length. Their secondary structure includes four short double-helical elements and three loops (D, anti-codon, and T loops).
Source: RNAcentral